RNAcentral lists this ribosomal RNA (258 nucleotides) under Balneola sp. RNAcentral describes it as "partial 16S ribosomal RNA". It matches the Rfam family "Bacterial small subunit ribosomal RNA", at positions 1 to 253 of the family's 1533-position model. Lineage: Bacteria; Pseudomonadati; Balneolota; Balneolia; Balneolales; Balneolaceae. The record is from RNAcentral.
ACAAUGGAGAGUUUGAUCCUGGCUCAGGACGAACGCUGGCGGCGGGCUUAACACAUGCAAGUCGAAGGAGAAGGAAGGAGCUUGCUCUUUCUGGAGACUGGCGGACGGGUGAGUAACGCGUAGCCAACCUGCCUUUAGCUGGGGGAUAACAUUCCGAAAGGGGUGCUAAUACCGCAUAAUGCAGCGGGGCCGCAUGGCCACAGUUGUUAAAGGUUUCGACCGGCUAAAGAGGGGGCUGCGUGCUAUUAGUUAGUUGGU